This is an RNA transcript of Melospiza melodia melodia, 1751 nucleotides long. It is a transcript of the gene named RB binding protein 7, chromatin remodeling factor, with no coding region annotated. The record is from RefSeq and is a predicted model, not a curated record. NCBI's taxonomy places the organism in Eukaryota, Metazoa, Chordata, Aves, Passeriformes, Passerellidae. The transcript has 12 exons.
CUCCCUCCCUCCCGCCUUUCCAGGGGCUCCUGAGCGCCCUCCCUCCCUCCUUCCCCGCCUCCUCCGUUUCUCCCUGCCCCCCCGCUCCCUCCCGCCGCGUCUCCCCCGCCAUGGCGAGCACGGACGCGCUGGAGGAGCGUGUCAUCAGCGGGGAGUACAAGAUCUGGAAGAAAAACAGCCCCUUCUUGUACGACCUGCUGCUGACGCGCGCCCUGGAGUGGCCCAGCCUCACGGUGCAGUGGCUGCCUGAUGUCAGCAGGCCAGAAGGAAAGGAUUAUGCUCUGCACUGGCUGCUUUUGGGAACACACACGUCUGAUGAACAGAAUCACCUGGUUGUUGCUAGAGUCCAGAUUCCCAACAAUUAUCAGUUUGAUUCUUUGAAGUCUGACAGUGAGAAAGGAGAACUUGGUGGCUUUGGAUCUGUGACUGGCAAAGUUGAGACGGAGAUUAAAAUUAACCAUGAGGGUGAAGUGAACCGUGCCCGUUACAUGCCGCAGAAUCCCCGCAUCGUCGCGACAAAAACACCCUCUGCUGAUGUGCUGGUGUUUGACUGCACUAAACAUCCUUCAGAACCAGGUCCAAGUGGGGAGUGUAAUCCUGAAUUUAGAUUAAGAGGCCACCAGAAGGAAGGCUAUGGCUUAUCAUGGAACUCAAAUUUGAGUGGACAUCUUCUCAGUGCAUCAGAUGAUCAUACAGUGUGUUUAUGGGAUGUAAGUGCUGGACCCAAAGAGGGCAAGAUUGUUGAUGCCAAAGCCAUCUUCACUGGGCUCUCUGCAGUAGUGGAAGAUGUGGCAUGGCACCUGCUCCAUGAGUCUCUCUUUGGAUCUGUGGCAGAUGAUCAGAAGCUUAUGAUCUGGGACACAAGAUCUAAUGCCACGUCCAAGCUGAGUCACUCAGCAGAUGCUCACACAGCCGAGGUGAACUGUCUGUCCUUCAGUCCCUACAGCGAGUUCAUUCUGGCAACUGGCUCUGCUGACAAGACGGUGGCUCUGUGGGAUCUUCGAAACUUAAAGCUGAAACUCCAUUCUUUUGAGUCUCAUGAGGAUGAGAUUUUUCAGGUUUACCGGUCUCCUCAUAAUGAAACCAUUCUUGCUUCAAGUGGUACCGAUCGUCGCCUGCACGUGUGGGAUCUGAGUAAAAUUGGAGAAGAGCAGUCAGCAGAGGAUGCAGAAGAUGGGCCUCCUGAGCUGCUGGUACCCUUCUGUUCAGUUUAUUCAUGGAGGACACACUGCCAAAAUUUCAGACUUCAGUUGGAAUCCUAAUGAGCCUUGGGUAAUCUGUUCUGUAUCAGAGGACAGCAUAAUGCAGAUAUGGCAGAUGGCAGAAAACAUUUACAGUGAUGAAGAGCCAGAUAUAACAGCAGCUGAACUGGAAGCUCAAGGAAUGUAACUUUUCUUCUUUAAGGAACUAGAGGGAAUGACAUAGUAAUGUAAUUUGACUACUGUAUACAUAAAAUAAAGUCCUGAAAAAAACACAGAAAACCAAAUACCAAACCAAAGAACCCCAGAAUCACUGGGCAGAAGCCUUGCAUCAAAACAGGAAUACUCCUAAUUGGAUUAAGCAAAAAGCUUGUAUAAUCAAGUUGUCAUGGGAUACUCUUGGUUCUGUGGGCACUUUGAGCUGUUGUAUACUGUACAGCAGUUAGCUUUAGAGAAACUGACAAUGACUAAAUACCUGUGUCUAUAUUUUUAAAUAAACUUUGUGUGUUCUGUAAAUAAAAUGGUGAAAUCCUCACUUUUCACACAUAGAAA